UGGCGAGUGGCGAACGGGUGAGUUAACGCAUCGGAUGACCAGUAGUGGGGGAUAACUAGUCGAAAGACUGGCUAAUACCGCAUACGCACUGAGGUGGAAAGCGGGGGAUCGCAAGACCUCGCGCUAUUGGAGCAGCCGAUGUCCGAUUAGGUUGUUGGUGGGGUAAUGGCCUACCAAGCCGACGAUCGGUAGCUGGUCUGAGAGGACGACCAGCCACACUGGGACUGAGGCACGGCCCAGACUCCUACGGGAGGCAGCAGUGGGGAAUUUUGGACAAUGGGGGCAACCCUGAUCCAGCAAUGCCGCGUGUGUGAAGAAGGCCUUCGGGUUGUAAAGCACUUUUGGCGGGAACGAAACGGCGCUUGCUAAUACCAGGCGCCAAUGACGGUACUCGCAGAAUAAGCACCGGCUAACUACGUGCCAGCAGCCGCGGUAAGACGUAGGUGCAAGCGUUAUCGGAAUUACUGGGCGUAAAGCGUGCGCAGGCGGUUUUGUAAGACAGGCGUGACAAUCCCGGGCUUAACCUGGGAACUGGGCUUGUGACUGCAGACUAGAGUGUGUCCAGGGAGUGGAAUUCGGUGUACAAGUGAAAUGCGUAAA
This 600-nucleotide ribosomal RNA is filed under the name uncultured bacterium. Its description in RNAcentral is "bacterial SSU rRNA". It matches the Rfam family "Bacterial small subunit ribosomal RNA", at positions 89 to 694 of the family's 1533-position model. The record is from RNAcentral.